This 19-nucleotide small nuclear RNA is filed under the name Arabidopsis thaliana (thale cress). Its description in RNAcentral is "snRNA_02796". Lineage: Eukaryota; Viridiplantae; Streptophyta; Magnoliopsida; Brassicales; Brassicaceae. The record is from RNAcentral.
UAUCAAUAAGCGGAGGAAA